Molecule: ribosomal RNA, 253 nt
Filed under: uncultured bacterium
Lineage: Bacteria
Description: partial 16S ribosomal RNA
Rfam family: Bacterial small subunit ribosomal RNA
Source: RNAcentral
UACAGAGGGGGCAAGCGUUGUUCGGAUUCAUUGGGCGUAAAGGGUGCGUAGGUGGCUAGGUAAGUCGGAUGUGAAAUCCCGGGGCUCAACCCCGGAACUGCAUUCGAUACUGCCUGGCUAGAGUACUGGAGAGGAGAUUGGAAUUUACGGUGUAGCAGUGAAAUGCGUAGAUAUCGUAAGGAAGACCAGUGGCGAAGGCGGAUCUCUGGACAGUUACUGACACUGAGGCACGAAGGCCAGGGGAGCAAACGGG